GUUAAGAUGGCAGGGCCAGGUGAUUGCAUAAGACUUAAAACUUUAUAAUCAGAGGUUCAACUGUGCUUCUUAACA
Non-coding RNA from Dipodomys ordii (Ord's kangaroo rat), 75 nucleotides. Lineage: Eukaryota; Metazoa; Chordata; Mammalia; Rodentia; Heteromyidae. The record is from Rfam.